This 223-nucleotide unclassified non-coding RNA is filed under the name plant metagenome. Its description in RNAcentral is "partial contains small subunit ribosomal RNA, internal transcribed spacer 1, and 5.8S ribosomal RNA". The record is from RNAcentral.
UUUCCGUAAGUGAACCUGCGGAAGGAUCAUUAAAGAGAAUAUGACCUUCGGGGUAGAUCUCCCACCCUUUGUUUAUAUUACCUUUGUUGCUUUGGCAGGCCCGUCUUCGGACCACCGGCUUCGGCUGGUCAGUGCUUGCCAGAGGACACAAAACUCUUAUUAUUAAUGUAGUCUGAGUACUAUAUAAUAGUUAAAACUUUCAACAACGGAUCUCUUGGUUCUG